UACGUAGGUGGCAAGCGUUGUCCGGAAUUACUGGGUGUAAAGGGAGCGUAGGCGGGAAGUCAAGUUGAAUGUGAAAUCGAUCGGCUCAACCGGUCGCUGCGUUCAAAACUGAUUUUCUUGAGUGAAGUAGAGGCAAGCGGAAUUCCUAGUGUAGCGGUGAAAUGCGUAGAUAUUAGGAGGAACACCAGUGGCGAAGGCGGCUUGCUGGGCUUUAACUGACGCUGAGGCUCGAAAGUGUGGGUAGCAAA
Molecule: ribosomal RNA, 248 nt
Filed under: uncultured Oscillospiraceae bacterium
Lineage: Bacteria; Bacillati; Bacillota; Clostridia; Eubacteriales; Oscillospiraceae
Description: partial 16S ribosomal RNA
Rfam family: Bacterial small subunit ribosomal RNA
Source: RNAcentral